RNAcentral lists this transfer RNA (64 nucleotides) under Liolaemus huacahuasicus. Its description in RNAcentral is "tRNA-Cys". The record is from RNAcentral. Lineage: Eukaryota; Metazoa; Chordata; Lepidosauria; Squamata.
AGCCUCGGAGUGUUACACGUCAAAAUGCAAGUUUGAAAAUGAGCCCCAAAGGGCUCCGGGGCUU